Long non-coding RNA from Macaca mulatta (Rhesus monkey), 882 nucleotides. RefSeq lists it as uncharacterized. The record is from RefSeq and is a predicted model, not a curated record. Lineage: Eukaryota; Metazoa; Chordata; Mammalia; Primates; Cercopithecidae.
CCGGGCGCCCAGGCGCCCCUUCGCCCCCGCGGUGACGCGCCGCCGAGCCGUGGGAAGGCCCUGGGCGGUCGCCGCCUUCACCGACGGCUGGGAGGUCCGGCCGUGCUCCGCUGUCUCGGCUGCCGCGCGCUGGGUGGCCUUGGGCAGGUGCCCUGGGAAGCCCGGCGGGGAAGCCAGGAGUCCCCGUCUGUCCCUGGGUCACCUGGGCGCUGCUGGCCUGUAGAGGCGCCGCUUUGAUGCCUGGGAUUCCGCAAGGGUCAACCCCGCGCGCUCCUGCCUCCUGGUGUUCUGGAGGCAGCAGACACAUCGUUUGUCGAGGUUUUUAAAAAUGUGACUACUAGAAAAUGUUAAACUGCUUAUUCAGCUCCCAUGAUGUUCCUAUUGGAUGGUACUAAUCUGGUGCAGGAUUUCUUAACCUCGAGACUACUGGCAUUUUGGGCCAGAUCAUUCUGUAUUGUGCAGGGCUGUUCUGUGGAUUGUAGAAUGGGGUCAGGAGAUCCUCUCUGAGGAUGAAUCAUUAUGCAAAGACCCGAAUGGAGAGAGGGAAUCUGAGAAGAUCUGAGGGAAGAGGAUUCCAGGCAGAAGGAACAGCAAGUGGAAAGCCCUGAGCUCCAAGCCACAGUCACAUCUGGAUCACAUCAUGGGGCUUUUAUUCCCAAAUCCAGUCCAAGACCAUGUCAGAAAGCAGAGGAUUCAUUUAUGGCACCAGAGGCUGGGGCUGAUAUACAAGGCCUAGGAAGGAGGGGGUGUUGGGAUGCCGCCCUUCCCCGACCCCUGCCUUUCCCUCAUCUUGGACAUGGGCCACUGGUUAUAAAACAGGGCAAAUAGCCCUGGGACCACUGGCCUUACGGACAUAAUAAAAAUUUUACCAUGAGACUAAGA